AGAAAAUGAUGCAAAGAAAAUGGGGAAGUGGGGAUAUUAUGGAUAAGUCUCAUCAAAUGCUAAUUAAAGGGGAACCAAGAUAUGAGAAGGGGGAUCCAUCCAAAAAAAUAAAUACACACGAUCCAAAUUUAUCUAUUUUGCUUUCUUGUUUGCUUUUAUAUUUUUGUUCCUAAAUUCCUGUUAUUUUAUCAAUUAUCCGUUUCGUAAUCCGAUUCCUUUUUGUUUUUGCUGCUUUCUUCUGAUUAUGUCAAUGUAGUAGUUUAAUUUCCCGUAUAGUUACAAUCGUUAACUUUCAUUGCAAGGCCAAGCUCGGAUACUUUCUUGAGUAGGUUGGAGAAUCCAAUUCUCGUCGAUUUCAACUGGCCUAAAUCCGUUGAGCCGUCAUCGAAGAAUUUCAAAGAUAAUAGAUACAAAACGUGAAUAAUUAUACGUCACACAAACAAUUGAAAGCCAGAACCGAUGACACCAAAACUCUUGCAGUUCGAUUCGUUCAGAAGGGGGAAGAACAUACAGAAAACUCCACAUAACAGGAGAAGAUGGGCGCCAUAGAAGAGAUAUGGCAACGAAGAUGGUGAGGCUAGAGAGAGAGAGAGAGAGAGUUGUAUAUAAAGAGAGAAAUAGUGAGGUCUUGCGAAGGAAUAAGGCGAGGGUUGAGGAUUGUAUUCCUAUAAAAGCAAAUGAAACACUAUCAGACUAGUUGUUUCGAUGGAACACAACAGUGUGUUGAUCUUUCAGCUCGUACGUGCUCGUGUAGAAGGUGGCAAUUAAGUGGGAUACCUUGUCAUCAUGCGAUUUCGGUAAUUGGGAACCAAGGCGAGGAUGUGGUAAGCUAUAUGGAGCAGUUUUAUUCAGGUAAGACAUAUAACAAGGUGUACGCAUUUUCAGUUAAAGCAAUCAACUCUGAAAAAUUUUGGGAGUCAACAGACUUUGUUCCACUGAAGCCACUGCCGGUUAAAAAAGGGGUGGAAAAACCAAAGAAGUUGCGAAAGAGAAAGGCCGGAGAGGCUAGGAAAAAAAUUUGUGACCAAGGAUGGUACAGAUAGGCUAAAAAGAGUUCAAAAAUCCAUUGCGCGUGGGAAUUGUGAUGGAGUUGGGCACAACUCACUUCAUUGUCCUUAAAAGGAACCGUUCGAAAGACUUUCUCAGCUUCGGCACGUCGAGGUAGACGAAAGCCAAGUGCAACAUAUAUUCCCCCGAGGCGAAUUACAUGUAGUUGCGAUUGAAAGCUAACAGUGAGACCUUAUAAGAAGAUGCAGUUUCAUUGGAGGUCACCAUGUCUGCGUUAUGAGACAUUCCAAUGCAAACAUCACGGAUGUCCCAUGUCUGCUUCCACUUUCACCUAGACAAGGACAACACCGUCGGGAAAGGCAUACCAUAGAUUCUGAUCUGAUUGAUAUUCAGAUCUCCCAUAAAAAGCAACAUGAAAAGAUACCAUUGCCACCUCAAUCCCGACAAAUGCGUGAACAACAACAACAAAAGGGGAACUCCACUAUAUGGACCUUUGAUGUUCAAGCAAUGCAACAAUGGAACCAAGAAGCUACCAACGCAGGUCAUACUCCCCCUAUCCGAUAUGCCAGCUGGUGUUCGGGCAUUGGAAAUUAGACGGAUCAUACGCCAUCACAAUUCAUCAAGCCUUGCAAACUACAAAUCGCAACACCUACAUUAAAUACUUAAUUAUAA
This is a long non-coding RNA of Andrographis paniculata, 1680 nucleotides long. RefSeq lists it as uncharacterized. The transcript is spliced from 7 exons. The record is from RefSeq and is a predicted model, not a curated record. NCBI's taxonomy places the organism in Eukaryota, Viridiplantae, Streptophyta, Magnoliopsida, Lamiales, Acanthaceae.